UGGGGAAUAUUGCACAAUGGGGGAAACCCUGAUGCAGCGACGCCGCGUGAAGGAAGAAGUAUCUCGGUAUGUAAACUUCUAUCAGCAGGGAAGAAAAUGACGGUACCUGA
RNAcentral lists this ribosomal RNA (110 nucleotides) under uncultured bacterium. RNAcentral describes it as "partial 16S rRNA". It matches the Rfam family "Bacterial small subunit ribosomal RNA", at positions 355 to 482 of the family's 1533-position model. The record is from RNAcentral.